This is a long non-coding RNA of Oncorhynchus mykiss (rainbow trout), 1753 nucleotides long. RefSeq lists it as uncharacterized. NCBI's taxonomy places the organism in Eukaryota, Metazoa, Chordata, Actinopteri, Salmoniformes, Salmonidae. The record is from RefSeq and is a predicted model, not a curated record.
ACUGCCAAAUAACUGUGCAUUAACUGCCUUGUUCAGGGGCAGAACUGACAGAUUUUUCAAUACCUUGUCAGCCUAGGGAUUCAAUCUUGCAAACUUUCGGUUACAAGUCCAAUGCUCUAACAUCUAGGCUACAUGCACGCCUCCUGCUGUGGUGCAUGGAGUCCCUAUUCUUUUACCCCAGUAGGAUGGGUUCAGGAUAAAAUACACUUAAGCAAUCUAAAAUGGCACAAUUCCCACAAGAGGAACCAAACCGUGCGUUUGAAAGAAACAGGAACCAAGACGAACUAGCCUUGUUGAUUCUUGGUUGUUUUUCCCAAUUGCUGUGGAACUGGAAACAGGAUUGGGUUUAAUUUGCGGGGUGAAAACUGCUAGGGACUAUUUUAAGACGGCAACCUUCGACAGCGAUAUUGUUGUGAUCUUCGGUGACUGGCAUUAAGUGUGGAGAAGGGAGAUGUGCUGAUCUAUCACGUUGCCGAACCGCAGGCGACCGACCGCCCACUGUCUGGACCCUGUUGCACAAUUUUCAGACCCACAGUGGAUCGAUGACUCCUGCAUGUCGGCAGAGACUUUCCAGGUCCUCUGCAAAAGGGCUGAGUACUAUUUGUGGGAGAGACAUGAUGCAUUGUUCCACCUUUGUGUCCCUCUCCGAAUGCGAAAUGCAGCAUUUCAGCAGCCUGCAGUGCCACUUCCAGAGAGGAUGGGAGCUAUAAUGUAAACACAGUGUGUGAUGGACUCCUGCAACACUUCAACAACUAGGUACAGCAAGAGUGGAUUACACAGGAUUGCUAUUGCUAAAACGGAGACACCCAGCUCCACCAUCGCCCUUUGGACAACAGAACGACUAGCACGACAAACCAAGCCUUGUCCUUUAGCUCAGUGGUGAGCCAUGGGUAUUAAUACAGUACUGCUAUAUAAUGCCCCGUGUCACAUGACUGUAUCCUUGGGGAUUAAUACAGUACUGCUAUAUAAUGCCCCGUGUCACAUGACUGUAUCCUUGGGGAUUAAUACAGUACUGCUAUAUAAUGCCCCGUGUCACAUGACUGUAUCCUUGGGGAUUAAUACAGUACUGCUAUAUAAUGCCCCGUGUCACAUGACUGUAUCCUUGGGGAUUAAUACAGUACUGCUAUAUAAUGCCCCGUGUCACAUGACUGUAUCCUUGGGGAUUAAUACAGUACUGCUAUAUAAUGCCCCUGUCACAUGACUGUAUCCUUGGGGAUUAAUACAGUACUGCUAUAUAAUGCCCCGUGUCACAUGACUGUAUCCUUGGGGAUUAAUACAGUACUGCUAUAUAAUGCCCCGUGUCACAUGACUGUAUCCUUGGGGAUUAAUACAGUACUGCUAUAUAAUGCCCCGUGUCACAUGACUGUAUCCUUGGGGAUUAAUACAGUACUGCUAUAUAAUGCCCCGUGUCACAUGACUGUAUCCUUGGGGAUUAAUACAGUACUGCUAUAUAAUGCCCCGUGUCACAUGACUGUAUCCUUGGGGAUUAAUACAGUACUGCUAUAUAAUGCCCCUGUCACAUGACUGUAUCCUUGGGGAUUAAUACAGUACUGCUAUAUAAUGCCCCUGUCACAUGACUGUAUCCUUGGGGAUUAAUACAGUACUGCUAUAUAAUGCCCCUGUCACAUGACUGUAUCCUUGGGGAUUAAUACAGUACUGCUAUAUAAUGCCCCUGUCACAUGACUGUAUCCUUGGGGAUUAAUACAGUACUGCUAUAUAAUGCCCCUGUCACAUUUAUUUAUUUUAUUUAACU